AUCGCUUCUCGGCCUUUUGGCCAAGAUCAAUGUGUAAUAUCUGUUCUUAUCAGCUUAAUCUCUGGUAAGGCUUCCAUAGGAGAAGAUUAGGCGCCAAGGUAGCCGAGCGGAAAGAGGCGAGACUAGUAAAGCUAAU
RNAcentral lists this small nuclear RNA (136 nucleotides) under Rhodnius prolixus. RNAcentral describes it as "U2 spliceosomal RNA". The stretch from base 1 to 97 matches the Rfam family "U2 spliceosomal RNA". Rfam says of the family: U2 is a small nuclear RNA (snRNA) component of the spliceosome (involved in pre-mRNA splicing). Complementary binding between U2 snRNA (in an area lying towards the 5' end but 3' to hairpin I) and the branchpoint sequence (BPS) of the intron results the bulging out of an unpaired adenosine, on the BPS, which initiates a nucleophilic attack at the intronic 5' splice site, thus starting the first of two transesterification reactions that mediate splicing. The record is from RNAcentral. Lineage: Eukaryota; Metazoa; Arthropoda; Insecta; Hemiptera; Reduviidae.